GCAAAAAGCCCAUUCAACUCCUUAACUCUUU
Molecule: transfer RNA, 31 nt
Filed under: Osmorhiza berteroi
Lineage: Eukaryota; Viridiplantae; Streptophyta; Magnoliopsida; Apiales; Apiaceae
Also listed under: 1 other name
Description: partial tRNA-Leu
Source: RNAcentral